CUACGUGCCAGCAGCCGCGGUAAUACGUAGGUGGCGAGCGUUGUCCGGAAUCAUUGGGCGUAAAGGGAGCGCAGGCGGGCCGGUAAGUCUUACUUAAAAGUGCGGGGCUCAACCCCGUGAUGGGAGAGAAACUAUCGGUCUUGAGUACAGGAGAGGAAAGCGGAAUUCCCAGUGUAGCGGUGAAAUGCGUAGAUAUUGGGAAGAACACCAGUGGCGAAGGCGGCUUUCUGGACUGCAACUGACGCUGAGGCUCGAAAGCCAGGGGAGCGAACGGGAUUAGAUACCCCGGUAGUCCUGGCCGUAAACGAUGGAUACUAGGUGUGGGAGGUAUCGACCCCUACCGUGCCGGAGUUAACGCAAUAAGUACUCCGCCUGGGGAGUACGACCGCAAGGUUGAAACUCAAAGGAAUUGACGGGGGCCCGCACAAGCGGUGGAGUAUGUGGUUUAAUUCGACGCAACGCGAAGAACCUUACCAGGUCUUAACAU
This 487-nucleotide ribosomal RNA is filed under the name uncultured bacterium. RNAcentral describes it as "bacterial SSU rRNA". It matches the Rfam family "Bacterial small subunit ribosomal RNA", at positions 501 to 987 of the family's 1533-position model. The record is from RNAcentral.